Molecule: long non-coding RNA, 940 nt
Filed under: Sinocyclocheilus anshuiensis
Lineage: Eukaryota; Metazoa; Chordata; Actinopteri; Cypriniformes; Cyprinidae
Description: lncRNA (ENSSANG00000023562.1)
Source: RNAcentral
GAAAAAGCCCUGUUCAUUUUCAUGUUCUCUUUCACAAAUGUAUUUUUCAUUUCAAGACAAUCUCUGAGUUUCGAAUCUUCGUUCGGUUCGAUCUCUGAGUUUCGAAUCUUCGUUCGGUUCGAUCGACUCAUCAAAAGGAACCGACUUCAAAGAACGAGUCAUAAUAUAAACAGACGUCCCAAUGCCUCGCUUUAUCACUGAUAUCCUGAAUUUACACUCAGACGAUUGAGUUCUGCCUCACGACGUUCAGUGAUGCACAUUCAUCCGGUCAGUCGUGUGAUGGAGGUCUCAUCUCCAGCAGUCCUCACAAAACACAGUUACAGAAGUUAAGUUGGACUCUACGAAACCAGAUGUUAAACCCAAAGUCCAAGCUUCCUCUGUUGCAACACAAGAACGUCACGAGAAACAAGCUUGUCCCUCUGCCAAUCCAGAUAACAAUUGGCGUGGCAUAUAAGGACAUGAAGCGCUCUGCAUCUGACGACACAACACGCAGUCCUGGAGCCUGUACUGGUCCGGCAAGGCCUUCUCUAUGUGGCAUGAUGGGAAUGAAACCGCACUGGUCGCUCCCAAAGCCAAACGCAUCUGGGUUUAUCUGGACCAGCAGACCGGCGUGCUGGCACUUUACAGACUCUCGCACAAUCAGCUCCAAGAAAUAUGCUGCGUUCACACGCAUUCCGACGGACCCCUCGUCCCCAGUUUCCACUUCUGGACUGGAGUCGGCGCCUCCAUCAUUAUCUGUGAGCUCAGCUAAAGAGGAAAGCAUGACUGUGAGAAAUACAUCUCGAGAGACUGGGAGAAAGUACUGAAAAAAGAUGAAGAACGCAUACGCCUUUAAAGCAAUCUAUAUCUGUUUACAACUUUACGAUGAAAAUAAAAUACUAAUACUAAUGCAUCAUAAGUGUGUCUUGUGUUUCUCUCUCCUUCAGUGAUUCUGCUUGUU